AACGAACGCUGGCGGCAUGCCUAACACAUGCAAGUCGAACGAGACCUUCGGGUCUAGUGGCGCACGGGUGCGUAACGCGUGGGAACCUGCCCUUAGGUUCGGAAUAACUCCCCGAAAGGGGUGCUAAUACCGGAUAAUGUCUUCGGACCAAAGAUUUAUCGCCUUUGGAUGGGCCCGCGUUGGAUUAGCUAGUUGGUAGGGUAAAAGCCUACCAAGGCGACGAUCCAUAGCUGGUCUGAGAGGAUGAUCAGCCACACUGGGACUGAGACACGGCCCAGACUCCUACGGGAGGCAGCAGUGGGGAAUAUUGGAAAAUGGGCGAAAGCCUGAUGCAGCAAUGCCGCGUGAGUGAUGAAGGCAUUAGGGUUGUAAAGCUCUUUUAACCGGGAUGAUAAUGACAGUACCGGGAGAAUAAGCUCCGGCUAACUCCGUG
This 433-nucleotide ribosomal RNA is filed under the name uncultured bacterium. RNAcentral describes it as "partial 16S ribosomal RNA". It matches the Rfam family "Bacterial small subunit ribosomal RNA", at positions 29 to 507 of the family's 1533-position model. The record is from RNAcentral.